GAUGAACGCUAGCUACAGGCUUAACACAUGCAAGUCGAGGGACCGGCGCACGGGUGAGUCACACGUAUCCAACCUGCCCUUUACUCGGGGAUAGCCUUUCGCAAGAAAGAUUAAUACCCGAUGUAAAGGAUGGGGAUGCGUUCCAUUAGGUUGUUGGUGAGGUAACGGCUCACCAAGCCUUCGAUGGAUAGGGGUUCUGAGAGGAAGGUCCCACACAUUGGAACUGAGACACGGUCCAAACUCCUAGGGGAGGCAGCAGUGAGGAAUAUUGGGAAAUGGGCGUUAGCCUGAACCAGCCAAGUAGCGUGAAGGAUGAAGGCUUAUGGGUCGUAAACUUCUUUUAUAUAAGAAUAUGUAUUAUAUGAAUAAGGAUCGGCUAACUCCGUGCCAGCAGCCGCGGUAAUUC
This 406-nucleotide ribosomal RNA is filed under the name uncultured bacterium. RNAcentral's name for it is "partial 16S ribosomal RNA". It matches the Rfam family "Bacterial small subunit ribosomal RNA", at positions 28 to 526 of the family's 1533-position model. The record is from RNAcentral.